CAAAAACAUAGCUAUAUGUGAAUACAUAUAGUCUCUUCUGCUCAAUGAGAUAUUAAAUUGCCGCAGUACCCUGACUGUGCUAAGGUAGCGUAAUCAGUUGUCUUCUAAUUAAAGUCUAGUAUGAAUGAACUUAUGGGGACAAGCUUUAUUUGUAUGUUUUAUGAAUUUUCUAAGUGGGUGUAAAUUCCCAUCCUAUUUUAAUAGACGAGAAGACCCUUGAAAUUUUAAUUGUUGUUUUUGUUGGGGCAAUAUGGUAACAAGUGAACUUACAUUAUGUAUAUGAAACAUAUUAGAUAAAUUAAUUACUCAAGGGGUAACAGCAUAAUUAAUUAACGUUUGUGACCUCGAUGUUGGACUAGGRCGCUGUAGCUUAGAAGGUUACCUUUGUGCUCUGUUCGAGCA
RNAcentral lists this ribosomal RNA (402 nucleotides) under Camaenidae sp. WT6. Its description in RNAcentral is "partial 16S ribosomal RNA". It matches the Rfam family "Archaeal large subunit ribosomal RNA", at positions 1903 to 2658 of the family's 2987-position model. The record is from RNAcentral. Lineage: Eukaryota; Metazoa; Mollusca; Gastropoda; Stylommatophora; Camaenidae.